CUCUAAUGGAGAGUUUGAUCCUGGCUCAGGACGAACGCUGGCGGCGUGCCUAAUACAUGCAAGUCGAGCGGAGUCUCAGAGAAGCUUGCUUCUCUGAGACUUAGCGGCGGACGGGUGAGUAACACGUAGGUAACCUGCCCAUAAGACUGGGAUAACUACCGGAAACGGUAGCUAAUACCGGAUAGGUUCUUCUCUCGCAUGGGAGGGGAAAGAAAGACGGAGCAAUC
Molecule: ribosomal RNA, 227 nt
Filed under: Paenibacillus sp. FSL H7-0326
Lineage: Bacteria; Bacillati; Bacillota; Bacilli; Caryophanales; Paenibacillaceae
Description: partial 16S ribosomal RNA
Rfam family: Bacterial small subunit ribosomal RNA
Source: RNAcentral